GGUUGGGAUGUUGGUGUCGGCUGGGGGCUGCUGUGAGGCGCUUGGUAGCACCCAGUCCUGAUACUCUCCAGUUACCCGGUAGGCGGGGCUCGGACACAAAGAAAAGGUGAAUUCGCAGCUGAGAGCCCUUGUUUCCGGUCCUUUUUUUUUUUUUUUUGAGAUGGAGUCUCGCUCUGUCACCCAGGCUGGAGUGCAGUGGCGCCAUCUCGGCUCACUGCAAGCUCUGCCUCCGGUGUUCAAGCGAUUCUCCUGCCUCAGCCUUCUAAGUAGCUAGGAUUACAGGCGCGCGUCACCACGCUUGGCUAAUUUUUGUAUUUUUAGUAGAGCCGAGGUUUCACCAAGUUGGUCAAGAUGGUCUCAAACUUCUGACCUCGUGAUCCGCCCGCCUCGGCCUCCCAAAGUGCCGGGAUUACAGGCGUGAGCCACCGCGCCCGGCCGUCUCCGAUCUUUACACGCAUUCUUCGUGUUAUCUGAAGACACUCUGACGCCACCACCCAAAGCAACUGGCAGUUGACUCUUGGCAAUUUUAAGCUUGUGUGGAAAGCAGCCGCCGCCCGGUAGCUCCUUUUUAUCUAGAGACACUCAGGAUGUGGGGGACACCCCAGCAAUGCCAUCCCUCCUUUGACCUCCAGAGCGCGCAGAAUUACAAAAGAUCUUUGGGGGCUUGGAUGGAGGAACAGGAAAAGAGGAGCCAGGCUUUUUUGGAAAAUUGGCGGCAGCGGUGGCAUACGGGAAACUGAAAUCUUUAUCUAAUCUCAUCCUUUGUAUAUUCGUCUUGGAUUUGCUGAAGAAAAUUAAAAGGCCAGGCCUACCACUCCUAUGGCACAGUAUUGAUGAGAGACAUCAGUGGAGCUCCCCACCUCCACCCCAGGCUUGGAACUUAGGGAAUGACUGGUUUUUGUCAUUUCACACAACAGCUGAAGGAUUCUGUCCCCACCUCGUCCUCUGUGAAGUCUGCUGGACGUACCUGCCAGAAUCUUCUGAAGAUGACGUUUGCUGAACACUGACCCACAGGGGUUUGAUGGAUUAUUGACAAUGAGACAAGCUGUCUUUUCAUCAAUUAGAUAUUCCAGUUGUUUCAGGUCAAUUUCCCAAGAUUUCUCUGGCUGGAGAGAAAGAAAGGAUGAGACUAAGAUGAUUCUGAAACAUUUAGGGGGAAUCCUCACUUAUCUCAAGGGUCCAAUGUAAGCAAUAAAGUCUGUCUCUGGCUUCAACCACC
Long non-coding RNA from Homo sapiens (human), 1219 nucleotides. Ensembl annotates it as TAT antisense RNA 1. Its record names the gene TAT-AS1. The record is from Ensembl. NCBI's taxonomy places the organism in Eukaryota, Metazoa, Chordata, Mammalia, Primates, Hominidae.